CGAACGGGUGAGUAACGCGUGAGGAACCUGCCUCAAAGAGGGGGACAACAGUUGGAAACGACUGCUAAUACCGCAUAAGCCCACGGCUCGGCAUCGAGCAGAGGGAAAAGGAAUGAUCCGCUUUGAGAUGGCCUCGCGUCCGAUUAGCUAGUUGGUGAGGUAACGGCCCACCAAGGCGACGAUCGGUAGCCGGACUGAGAGGUUGAACGGCCACAUUGGGACUGAGACACGGCCCAG
RNAcentral lists this ribosomal RNA (237 nucleotides) under uncultured bacterium. RNAcentral's name for it is "partial 16S ribosomal RNA". It matches the Rfam family "Bacterial small subunit ribosomal RNA", at positions 99 to 334 of the family's 1533-position model. The record is from RNAcentral.